Molecule: ribosomal RNA, 474 nt
Filed under: uncultured bacterium
Lineage: Bacteria
Description: partial 16S ribosomal RNA
Rfam family: Bacterial small subunit ribosomal RNA
Source: RNAcentral
GAUGAACGCUAGCGGCAGGCCUAACGCAUGCAAGUCGAGGGAGGAGCUUUCGGGCUUCGACCGGCGUACGGGUGCGUAACGCGUAUACAAUCUGCCUUUCACAUAGGGAUAGCCCGAAGAAAUUUGGAUUAAUACCUAAUGGUAUAUAGAGGUGGCAUCACCUUUAUAUUAAAGCUGAGGCGGUGAAAGAUGAGUAUGCGUUCUAUUAGCUAGUUGGAGAGGUAACGGCUCCCCAAGGCGACGAUAGAUAGGGGUUCUGAGAGGGAUAUCCCCCACACUGGUACUGAGAUACGGACCAGACUCCUACGGGAGGCAGCAGUGAGGAAUAUUGGACAAUGGUCGGAAGACUGAUCCAGCCAUGCCGCGUGCAGGAAGACGGCCUUAUGGGUUGUAAACUGCUUUUGCAGGGGAAGAAUAAGGACUACGCGUAGUUUGAUGACGGUACUCUGCGAAUAAGCAUCGGCUAACUCCGUG